AACCUGGUUGAUGCCUGCGAGUAGUCAUAUGCGUUGUGCUCAAAGAUUAAGCCAUGCAUGUCUCAGUAUAAGCUUCUAUAUGGCGAAACUGCGAAUGGCUCAUUAAAACAGUUAUAGUUUAUUUGGUGGUCAACUUCUACAUGGAUAACCGUGGUAAUUCUAGAGCUAAUACAUGCGCCCAAACCCAACUUCUUGGAAGGGUUGUGUUUAUUAGAUACAGAACCAACCCAGGCUCCGCCUGGCCUUGAGGUGAUUCAUAAUAACCGAACGAAUCGCAUGGCUCCGCCGGCGAUAGACCAUUCAAGUUUCUGACCUAUCAGCUAUCGUCGGUAGGGUAUUGGCCUACCGUGGCAAUGACGGGUAACGGAGAAUUAGGGUUCGAUUCCGGAGAGGGAGCCUGAGAAACGGCUACCACAUCUAAGGAAGGCAGCAGGCGCGCAAAUUACCCAAUCCUGACGCAGGGAGGUAGUGACAAGAAAUAACAGUACAGGGCAUAUCUGUCUUGUAAUUGGAAUGAGUAAACUUUAAAUCACUUUGCGAGUAUCAAUUGGAGGGCAAGUCUGGUGCCAGCAGCCGCGGUAAUUCCAGCUCCAAUAGC
Molecule: ribosomal RNA, 598 nt
Filed under: uncultured marine eukaryote
Lineage: Eukaryota
Description: SSU rRNA
Rfam family: Eukaryotic small subunit ribosomal RNA
Source: RNAcentral